UGCAGGAGGAGCAGAGGUGCUGACGCAGAUGGGAGGCCAGGACUGUGCCGUCUUCAAGAAAGCCACGGGGAGGGGAGAAGCAGGUUGGGCUGGGGUUAACACGUUGCCGAGGAAAACGCGUCCUGGCCGUGUGGCUUAGGAGGCACAGGAGACAAGGGGUCCGAUCCCUGAUCCCGGAAGAUCCCACGUGCGGCCCCGCAAAGCGACUAAGCCCCUUCACCACAGCUUUUGAGCCUGUCCUCUGGAGCCGGGAGCUGCAGAUACGGAGCCCGUAUGCUACAUCUGCUGACGCCCGAGUGCCCCAGCGCCCACGCUCUGCAGGAGGAGAAACCACUGCAGUGAGAAGCCCUUUUACCACAACUGGAGAACAGCCACUGCUUGCUACAACUGAAGAAAAGCCCGGGCAGCAACAAAGACUCAGCAGAGUCAGAAAUAAAUGAAUACAGUGACCCAGUUCCAUAAGCAGAGCUGGGCUCUGAAAUGACAGCACUUAGCCCAGGACCUUCCCUAUUUCAUGUGAAGCUUGUACUAAUCGCAGCAAAGUCAUCCCUAUCACCAUAUAUUUUUAUUUGAAGAUAAAUAAAAUUUCAAGUUUAUUUUCUCAA
Bubalus bubalis (water buffalo) is the source of this 605-nucleotide long non-coding RNA. RefSeq lists it as uncharacterized. NCBI's taxonomy places the organism in Eukaryota, Metazoa, Chordata, Mammalia, Artiodactyla, Bovidae. The transcript has 2 exons. The record is from RefSeq and is a predicted model, not a curated record.